AACGUACGCUGGCGGCACGCCUAACACAUGCAAGUCGAACGAAGUAGCAAUACUUAGUGGCAGACGGGUGAGUAACAUGUAGGUAUCUGCCCUUUGGCCUGGAAUAACACGAGGAAACUUGUGCUAAUACCGGAUAAGUCUUUACGGAGAAAGCUUUAUGCACCAUUGGAUGAGCCUGCACUUGAUUAGUUUGUUGGUGGGGUAAUGGCCUACCAAGACUGUGAUCAAUAGCUGAUUUGAGAGGAUGAUCAGCCACAUUGGGACUGAGACACGGCCCAAACUCCUACGGGAGGCAGCAGUGGGGAAUCUUGCACAAUGGAGGAAACUCUGAUGCAGCGAUGCCGCGUGAGUGAAGAAGGCCCUUGGGUUGUAAAGCUCUUUCGUCGGGGAAGAAAAUGACUGUACCCGAAUAAGAAGGUCCGGCUAACUUCGUGCCAGCAGCCGCGGUAAUACGAAGGGACCUAGCGUAGUUCGGAAUUACUGGGCUUAAAGAGUUCGUAGGUGGUUGAAAUAGUUGGUGGUGAAAUCCCAGAGCUUAACUCUGGAACUGCCAUCAAAACUUUUCAGCUAGAGUAUGAUAGAGGAAAGCAGAAUUUCUAGUGUAGAGGUGAAAUUCGUAGAUAUUAGAAAGAAUACCAAUUGCGAAGGCAGCUUUCUGGAUCAUUACUGACACUGAGGAACGAAAGCAUGGGUAGCGAAGAGGAUUAGAUACCCUCGUAGUCCAUGCCGUAAACGAUGUGUGUUAGACGUUGGAAAUUUAUUUUCAGUGUCGCAGGGAAACCGAUAAACACACCGCCUGGGGAGUACGACCGCAAGGUUAAAACUCAAAUGAAUUGACGGGGACCCGCACAAGUAGUGGAGCAUGUGGUUUAAUUCGAAGAUACGCGCAGAACCUUACCAACACUUGACAUGUUCGUCGCGACUCUAAGAGAUUAGAGUUUUCGGUUCGGCCGGACGAAACACAGGUGCUGCAUGGCUGUCGUCAGCUCGUGUCGUGAGAUGUUGGGUUAAGUCCCGCAACGAGCGCAACCCUCACUUUUAGUUGCCAUCAUUAAGUUGGGCACUCUGAAAGAACUGCCAGUGAUAAGCUGGAGGAAGGUGGGGAUGACGUCAAGUCCUCAUGGCCCUUACGUGUUGGGCUACACACGUGCUACAAUGGUAUCUACAACAGGAAGCAAGACUGCGAAGUUAAGCAAAUCCCUAAAAGAUACCUCAGUUCGGAUUGCACUCUGCAACUCGAGUGCAUGAAGCUGGAAUUACUAGUAAUCGUGGAUCAGCGUGCCACGGUGAAUGCGUUCCCGGGUCU
This 1306-nucleotide ribosomal RNA is filed under the name uncultured bacterium. RNAcentral describes it as "bacterial SSU rRNA". It matches the Rfam family "Bacterial small subunit ribosomal RNA", at positions 28 to 1381 of the family's 1533-position model. The record is from RNAcentral.